Acanthosepion pharaonis is the source of this 112-nucleotide non-coding RNA. Lineage: Eukaryota; Metazoa; Mollusca; Cephalopoda; Sepiida; Sepiidae. The record is from the annotation of a GenBank genome assembly.
UUACGGUCGUAUCAGGUUGAAAUACUGGUUCCCGUACGAUCACCGAAGUUAAGCAAUGUUGAGCCUCGUCAGUGCGUAAAUGGGUGAUCGCUUGGGAAUACCAGGUGCUGGA